Molecule: ribosomal RNA, 126 nt
Filed under: Prolemur simus (greater bamboo lemur)
Lineage: Eukaryota; Metazoa; Chordata; Mammalia; Primates; Lemuridae
Source: RNAcentral
AUCUACAGCUGUACCACCCUGAACAUGUCCAAUCUCAUCUGAUCCCGGAAGCAAAGCAGGGUCGGUCCUGGUUAGUACCAGGAUGGGAAGAACCUCAUUCCCUGUUGGAGUCGGGGGAGGUGGACU